GAUGAAGAACGUAGCGAAAUGCGAUACGUAAUGUGAAUUGCAGAAUUCAGUGAAUCAUCGAAUCUUUGAACGCAUAUUGCGCUCUUUGGUAUUCCGAAGAGCAUGCUUGUUUGAGUAUCAGUAAACACCUCAAAGACUUCAAUUUGUUUUGAAUGGCUUUGGACUUGAGCAAUCCCAACCCCAGUCUUUACGAUCGGUGGAGGGUUGCUUGAAAUGCAGGUGCAGCUGGACAUUCUCCUGAGCUAAAAGCAUAUUUAUUUAGUCCCGUCAAACGGAUUAUUACUUUUGCUGCAGCUAACAUAAAGGGAGUUUGACCGUAUUGGCUGACUGAUGCAGGAUUUCACAAGGGUCGGCAACGAUUCUUGUAAAACUCGAUCUCAAAUCAAGUAAGACUACCCGCUGAACUUAAGCAUAUCAAUAAGCGGAGGA
Molecule: unclassified non-coding RNA, 429 nt
Filed under: soil metagenome
Description: partial contains 5.8S ribosomal RNA, internal transcribed spacer 2, and large subunit ribosomal RNA
Rfam family: 5.8S ribosomal RNA (bases 1-120)
Source: RNAcentral